This is a long non-coding RNA of Pezoporus occidentalis (night parrot), 317 nucleotides long. RefSeq lists it as uncharacterized. NCBI's taxonomy places the organism in Eukaryota, Metazoa, Chordata, Aves, Psittaciformes, Psittacidae. The record is from RefSeq and is a predicted model, not a curated record. The transcript has 3 exons.
CAUCCAGUACCUAAAGGGGCUACAAGAAACCUGGAGAGGGGCUUCGGACAAGGGCCUGUAGGGACAGGACAAAGGGAAUGGCUUUAACCUGACAGAGGGGAGACUGAGAUCUGUUAGGCAGAAGCUCUCCCCUGCGAGGGUGCUGAGGCGCUGGCACAGGGUGCCCACAGAAGCUGUGGCUGCCCCAUCCCUGGCAGUGCUCAAGGCCAGGUUGGACACAGGGGCUUGGAGCAAGCUGCUCUAGUGGAAGGUGUGUCUGCCCGUGGCAGGGGUUGGAACUGGAUGAGCUUUAAGGUCCCUUCCAACCCAAACCAUUC